RNAcentral lists this ribosomal RNA (274 nucleotides) under uncultured bacterium. RNAcentral's name for it is "partial 16S ribosomal RNA". It matches the Rfam family "Bacterial small subunit ribosomal RNA", at positions 523 to 796 of the family's 1533-position model. The record is from RNAcentral.
AUACGGAGGGUGCAAGCGUUAUUCGGAAUCACUGGGCGUAAAGGGUGCGUAGGCGGUUUGGUAAGUCUGAUGUGAAAUCCUAUGGCUCAACCAUAGAACUGCAUUGGAAACUGCUAAACUAGAAUACUGAAGGGGCAGAUGGAAUUAGUGGUGUAGGAGUAAAAUCCGUAGAUAUCACUAGGAAUACCGAAAGCGAAAGCGAUCUGCUGGGAAGUUAUUGACGCUGAGGCACGAAAGCGUGGGGAGCAAACGGGAUUAGAUACCCCAGUAGUCC